Molecule: long non-coding RNA, 398 nt
Organism: Gasterosteus aculeatus aculeatus (three-spined stickleback)
Lineage: Eukaryota; Metazoa; Chordata; Actinopteri; Perciformes; Gasterosteidae
Source: Ensembl
CUCAUACAUUCUGAAUUAAUGCUGGGCUCCUAUAAAAGGAUGAUUAUCUGUUGUCCUAAAUGUAUUGGAUUACUCCUCCUCCUGUGCUCCCAAGCUCUCAAUUUUGCCUGCCUUCUCGCCAAAAUAUGCUUCGAGCCACCUGUUCGGAUGACCACAAGAGUGUCUGGGAACCAAGACCAUCCACUGCGCGCACUGCAGGAAAUACCAACUGUAUGGUCAGCCACGGAGGGAUCCAACUGUGGACGUGCAGAGAAAAGGCAGAAUGAUCUCCAGCAGGUACCACGCGCCAUCUACUGGAGCCCGAAGCGGCUCCAUCCUUCAACAAGCUGCUGCAGCACAAAGCUGCGUUUCACAUAUACGGUGAAUUUAAACCAUAUGGAAGACCUACAUGUUUCGAG